RNAcentral lists this ribosomal RNA (286 nucleotides) under Xenodon werneri. RNAcentral describes it as "partial 12S ribosomal RNA". Lineage: Eukaryota; Metazoa; Chordata; Lepidosauria; Squamata; Dipsadidae. The record is from RNAcentral.
AAAGACUUGACGGUACUUCACACCAACCUAGAGGAGCCUGUCUAACAACCGAUAUUCCACGUUUAACCCCACCCGCCUUAGCCCCACAGUCUAUAUACCGCCGUCGCCAGCUUACCUUGCAAGAGUAACAUAGUGAGCAAAACAGACCCCUCUAACACGACAGGUCGAGGUGUAGCUUAUAGCCGGGUAAAAGAUGGACUACAUUUUCUAUAACAGAACAUACGAAUAAACUAUGAAACUAGAAACUGAAGGAGGAUUUAGCAGUAUGUUAAGAACAGAAAACCUA